RNAcentral lists this ribosomal RNA (424 nucleotides) under uncultured bacterium. RNAcentral's name for it is "bacterial SSU rRNA". It matches the Rfam family "Bacterial small subunit ribosomal RNA", at positions 355 to 776 of the family's 1533-position model. The record is from RNAcentral.
UGAGGAAUAUUGGUCAAUGGGCGCAAGCCUGAACCAGCCAUCCCGCGUGAAGGAUGAAUGCCUUAUGGGUUGUAAACUUCUUUUGUACCUGAAGAAACUCUGGGUCGUGACCUGGACUGCCGGUAGGGUACGAAUAAGCAUCGGCUAACUCCGUGCCAGCAGCCGCGGUAAUACGGAGGAUGCAAGCGUUAUCCGGAUUUAUUGGGUUUAAAGGGUGCGCAGGUGGUUAAAUAAGUCAGUGGUGAAAGUCUGCCGCUUAACGGUAGGAUUGCCAUUGAUACUGUUUAACUUGAGUUUAGGUGAGGUAGGCGGAAUGUGUAGUGUAGCGGUGAAAUGCAUAGAUAUUACACAGAACACCGAUUGCGAAGGCAGCUUACUAAUCUACAACUGACACUGAGGCACGAAAGCGUGGGGAUCAAACAGG